RNAcentral lists this ribosomal RNA (497 nucleotides) under uncultured bacterium. RNAcentral describes it as "partial 16S ribosomal RNA". It matches the Rfam family "Bacterial small subunit ribosomal RNA", at positions 28 to 507 of the family's 1533-position model. The record is from RNAcentral.
GAUGAACGCUGGCGGCGUGCCUAAUACAUGCAAGUCGAGCGAACGGACGAGAAGCUUGCUUCUCUGAUGUUAGCGGCGGACGGGUGAGUAACACGUGGAUAACCUACCUAUAAGACUGGGAUAACUUCGGGAAACCGGAGCUAAUACCGGAUAAUAUUUUGAACCGCAUGGUUCAAAAGUGAAAGACGGUCUUGCUGUCACUUAUAGAUGGAUCCGCGCUGCAUUAGCUAGUUGGUAAGGUAACGGCUUACCAAGGCAACGAUGCAUAGCCUACCUGAGAGGGUGAUCGGCCACACUGGAACUGAGACACGGUCCAGACGCCUACGGGAGGCAGCAGUAGGCAAUCUUCCGCAAUGGGCGAAAGCAUGACGGAGCAACGCCGCGUGAGUGAUGAAGGUUUUCGGAUCGUAAAACUCUGUCAUUAGGGAAGAACAUAUGUGUAAGUAACUGUGCACAUCUUGACGGUACCUAAUCAGAAAGCCACGGCUAACUACGUG